Molecule: unclassified non-coding RNA, 331 nt
Filed under: soil metagenome
Description: partial contains 5.8S ribosomal RNA, internal transcribed spacer 2, and large subunit ribosomal RNA
Rfam family: 5.8S ribosomal RNA (bases 1-120)
Source: RNAcentral
GAUGAAGAACGUAGCGAAACGCGAUAAGUAAUGUGAAUUGCAGAAUUCAGUGAAUCAUCGAAUCUUUGAACGCACAUUGCGCCCCCUGGUAUUCCGGGGGGCAUGCCUGUUCGAGCGUCAUUUCACCACUCAAGCCUCGCUUGGUAUUGGGCAACGCGGUCCGCCGCGUGCCUCAAAUCGACCGGCUGGGUCUUCUGUCCCCUAAGCGUUGUGGAAACUAUUCGCUAAAGGGUGUUCGGGAGGCUACGCCGUAAAACAACCCCAUUUCUAAGGUUGACCUCGGAUCAGGUAGGGAUACCCGCUGAACUUAAGCAUAUCAAUAAGCGGAGGA